Molecule: ribosomal RNA, 497 nt
Filed under: uncultured bacterium
Lineage: Bacteria
Description: partial 16S ribosomal RNA
Rfam family: Bacterial small subunit ribosomal RNA
Source: RNAcentral
GAUGAACGCUGGCGGCGUGCCUACUACAUGCACGUAGAGCGACCAGACGAGGAGCUUGCUCUUCUGCCGUUAGCGUCGGACGGGUGAGUCCCCCGUUGUUAACCUACUUACUAGACUCAGAUAUUUUCGGGCCUCCGGCGCUCAUACCGGAUAAUCUAUUCAACCGCAUGGUUCCUUAGUGAUAGAGGCUUUUGCUGUCACUUCUAGCUGGAUCCGCGCAGCAUUAGCUAGUUGGUACGGUACCGGCUUAUCAAGGCAAUGAUGCGUAACCGACCUGAGAGUGUUGACGGCCACACUGAGACGGAGACACGGUCCAGACUCCGACGGGAGGCAGCAGUAGGGAAUCUUCCGGAAAGGGCGAAAGCCUGACGGAGCAACGCCGCGUGAGUGAUGAAGGUCUUCGGAGCGUAAAACUCUGUUAUUAGGGAAGAACAAAUGUGUAAGUAACUAUGCACGUCUUGACGGUACCUAAUCAGAAAGCCACGGCUAACUACGUG